Molecule: ribosomal RNA, 253 nt
Filed under: uncultured bacterium
Lineage: Bacteria
Description: partial 16S ribosomal RNA
Rfam family: Bacterial small subunit ribosomal RNA
Source: RNAcentral
UACGAAGGGGGCUAGCGUUGUUCGGAAUUACUGGGCGUAAAGCGCACGUAGGCGGAUUUGUUAGUCAGGGGUGAAAUCCCGGGGCUCAUCCUCGGAACUGCCUUUGAUACUGCAAGUCUCGCGUCCGGAAGAGGUGAGUGGAAUUCCUAGUGUAGAGGUGAAAUUCGUAGAUAUUAGGAAGAACACCAGUGGCGAAGGCGGCUCACUGGUCCGGUACUGACGCUGAGUUGCGCAAGCGUGGGGAGCAAACAGG